RNAcentral lists this ribosomal RNA (480 nucleotides) under uncultured bacterium. RNAcentral describes it as "SSU rRNA". It matches the Rfam family "Bacterial small subunit ribosomal RNA", at positions 26 to 523 of the family's 1533-position model. The record is from RNAcentral.
AGGACGAACGCUGGCGGCGUGCUUAACACAUGCAAGUCGAACGGAAAGGCCCGCUUGCGGGUACUCGAGUGGCGAACGGGUGAGUAACACGUGGGCAACCUGCCCUCAGCUCUGGGAUAACUCCGGGAAACCGGUGCUAAUACUGGAUAUCGACUUCUGCUCGCAUGGGUGGUUGUUGAAAGUUUUUCGGCUGGGGAUGGGCCCGCGGCCUAUCAGCUUGUUGGUGGGGUAAUGGCCUACCAAGGCGACGACGGGUAGCCGGCCUGAGAGGGCGACCGGCCACACUGGGACUGAGACACGGCCCAGACUCCUACGGGAGGCAGCAGUGGGGAAUAUUGCGCAAUGGGCGAAAGCCUGAUGCAGCGACGCCGCGUGAGGGAUGACGGCCUUCGGGUUGUAACCUCUUCAGCAGGGACGAAGCGAAGUGACGGUACCUGCAGAAGAAGCACCGGCCAACUACGUCGCCAGCAGCCGCGGUAA